AUACCAUGAUGAGGACACUACCAUAAUAAACUCUUAAAUCUAUCCUAUGCUUCAAAUAGUGAUUCUCCAUCUACCUGAGAAAAGAUUGUGAUUCUAUUCCUCAUAU
Small nucleolar RNA from Zingiber officinale, 106 nucleotides. The record is from RefSeq and is a predicted model, not a curated record. Lineage: Eukaryota; Viridiplantae; Streptophyta; Magnoliopsida; Zingiberales; Zingiberaceae.